AGAGUAGUUGCUUACCUUAAUGUUGAUGUUGCAGUUUAUGGAAAAGGGUUUCAUGCUUCCUCAACUCCACAGUUAGAUGAACUUAUUUUACAGGCUUCUCAAUUGGUUCCUGAUCCAGACAAUUCAUCCCAAACUGUUUAUGAUGCUUGGCUUCAAUCGAAAUCUAAAGCUGUGUUAGGUAGAUUGGGUGGUGGAGGUUCAGAUUAUAAAGCAUUUGUUCAACACAUUGGUGUUCCUUCUGUUGAUAUGAUUACUGGAGAUGGUAA
Impatiens glandulifera is the source of this 266-nucleotide long non-coding RNA. RefSeq lists it as uncharacterized. The record is from RefSeq and is a predicted model, not a curated record. The transcript is spliced from 3 exons. NCBI's taxonomy places the organism in Eukaryota, Viridiplantae, Streptophyta, Magnoliopsida, Ericales, Balsaminaceae.